This is a long non-coding RNA of Amphiprion ocellaris (clown anemonefish), 967 nucleotides long. The record is from Ensembl. Lineage: Eukaryota; Metazoa; Chordata; Actinopteri; Pomacentridae.
ACCAUAACAACGAUGGCGGGUGUGUUGAGACUGGACGAGAAUGACUUUAUUUUGGUCUGUAAGGAGCUUGCUCUCUUUUCUAAAACUUAUCUCUGGGCGGUGAACAGAAGACCGCGCGCUCCCGUUAAGCCCUUUGUGCCCCGGGGAAGCCAUACUUGAAGUCUGAAUGAGACGUCACAAAAGAGAAACAGCAGGCAGUAUAAACCCAGGUGGACAACUUUGAGGACGUUUGGCAGCACAAUAUAAAGAUUGCUGUUGUUGGUGCUUCCUACGCUGAAGAUCCUGUUGAUGUCUCUCUUAUUCUUGACGGCAAGGAGGUUGUGACUGGAUGUGGAAAUACUGCAAAGGCAUGUACACUGCUAAUGGGUCUGAUAUAUUCCCUCAAUCUUGCUUAUCCUCCAACACUGCGUUACACUUUUGAAGUGUUCCAGAAGCUUUUCUUAGAUUUAGACGCAAUAAAGCUAUCCCCCAAAGUACAAACUCUGAAAAUGAAGUUGCUGUCCAAAACUUAAAAGAUGACAUUUUAUUCAGCUUUGUUCAGCUUGGUAUGCCUUUGCCAUUAUAGCAGUUUAUGCUAUAAAGUUGUAUUGUUAUUGUGUAACUCUUGCACAUGCUUCAAAGUCGUUAAUUGUUCAUGAAUGUUAAUACAGCUGCAAAACUUAUGCAGCCAUUUCUCACAGCUGUGCCUUCAGAAAGGACUUAUAUAGAUAAUAGUAUGACAACAAGAAUUGCUGAUUUGUUGUUUUUUUUUUUCAAGUGUAAAACUUGGACAAAAAAGGCUGUCAAUAAAACAAAGUUGUUAAAUAUUGUCAUUUUUAUAUUAUUGAUUUUUCAUAUUUUCUGUAUACACUUUAACAAAACUAGUAGUUAUUACUCAAAUGUAGUGCUUAAAAAUUAUUUUGUAAUAAGAAUAAAUAUAGUGAUACAACGAAUAAAAUAUAAAUAACAUUUAUUAAAUUAAUUCAUU